GGGGAUUUGGNAUGGGCGAAGCCUGAUCCAGCCAUGCCGCGUGUGUGAAGAAGGUCUUCGGAUUGUAAAGCACUUUAAGUUGGGAGGAAGGGCAGUAAGUUAAUACCUUGCUGUUUUGACGUUACCAACAGAAUAAGCACCGGCUAACUUCGUGCCAGCAGCCGCGGUAAUACNAAGGGUGCAAGCGUUAAUCGGAAUUACUGGGCGUAAAGCGCGCGUAGGUGGUUCAGCAAGUUGGAUGUGAAAUCCCCGGGCUCAACCUGGGAACUGCAUCCAAAACUACUGAGCUAGAGUACGGUAGAGGGUGGUGGAAUUUCCUGUGUAGCGGUGAAAUGCGUANAUAUAGGAAGGAACACCAGUGGCGAAGGCGACCACCUGGACUGAUACUGACACUGANGUGCGAAAGCGUGGGGAGCAAACAGGAUUANAUACCCUGGUAGUCCACGCCGUAAACGAUGUCGACUAGCCGUUGGGAUCCUUGAGAUCUUANUGGCGCAGCUAACGCGAUAAGUCGACCGCCUGGGGAGUACGGCCGCNAGGUUAAAACUCAAAUGAAUUGACGGGGGCCCGCACAAGCGGUGGAGCAUGUGGUUUAAUUCGAAGCAACGCGAAGAACCUUACCUGGCCUUGACAUGCUGAGAACUUUCC
Molecule: ribosomal RNA, 648 nt
Filed under: Pseudomonas aeruginosa
Lineage: Bacteria; Pseudomonadati; Pseudomonadota; Gammaproteobacteria; Pseudomonadales; Pseudomonadaceae
Description: bacterial SSU rRNA
Rfam family: Bacterial small subunit ribosomal RNA
Source: RNAcentral